RNAcentral lists this ribosomal RNA (491 nucleotides) under uncultured bacterium. RNAcentral's name for it is "partial 16S ribosomal RNA". It matches the Rfam family "Bacterial small subunit ribosomal RNA", at positions 29 to 507 of the family's 1533-position model. The record is from RNAcentral.
AGUGAACGCUGGCGGUAGGCCUAACACAUGCAAGUCGAACGGCAGCACAGUAAGAGCUUGCUCUUACGGGUGGCGAGUGGCGGACGGGUGAGGAAUACAUCGGAAUCUACUUUUCGUGGGGGAUAACGUAGGGAAACUUACGCUAAUACCGCAUACGACCUACGGGUGAAAGCAGGGGAUCUUCGGACCUUGCGCGAUUGAAUGAGCCGAUGUCGGAUUAGCUAGUUGGCGGGGUAAAGGCCCACCAAGGCGACGAUCCGUAGCUGGUAUGAGAGGAUGAUCAGCCACACUGGAACUGAGACACGGUCCAGACUCCUACGGGAGGCAGCAGUGGGGAAUAUUGGACAAUGGGCGCAAGCCUGAUCCAGCCAUACCGCGUGGGUGAAGAAGGCCUUCGGGUUGUAAAGCCCUUUUGUUGGGAAAGAAAAGCAGCAGGUUAAUACCCCGCUGUUCUGACGGUACCCAAAGAAUAAGCACCGGCUAACUUCGUG